Pelobates cultripes (western spadefoot toad) is the source of this 1255-nucleotide non-coding RNA. The record is from the annotation of a GenBank genome assembly. Lineage: Eukaryota; Metazoa; Chordata; Amphibia; Anura; Pelobatidae.
CUCUGGGCCAGGCUAGAUAAUUGAGUUUCUACAAUACACAAAGCUCAAUUAUCUGCUGGCCAGAAAUAAUACAGUUUUAACAGCAUAUUCAUAACUUCUAAAAUAUACAUUACAUAAAAAAUAUAUAUUUACAAUCAAUCCAUUCAGGGAAACAACAUAUCAAAAAAUGGCAUGAAUCAGACCAGGGGUUAAGAAGUUAGUAAAGUAUCCUUUGGGGCCUGGCUGGCAGCAUGGCUAUCUGGCCCAAACUGGUUUUACAGAGCCCUCUAGCCUGGAGACAAUGGGGAAAGUAAUCCAAUUAUCCAGGGAUAGAAGCAGACUCCAUUGAGCACAUGUUCCCAGUACAACACAAAAGGAUACAAAAAUACAUAACUCCUAUCCCUCUGAAUUGAACGGGCCAAAUCUCCCAGGGUCCAUAGUCACAGGGCAAGAGGCGGGCAAGCAGUCCUCUCCAGGCACAAGUGGCAAAGGGCACUUCGUCACACUUGGUCCACUGUAGUGACAGCAAAUCCGGAACAGAUCAUGAGGAAAAGGCUAAAAAAAAAUAAUAGUCAGUGUAUUAGAAGAGUGGCCAGGUAAAUAGAGUAUCAUCUCUGCAGGGUGACACUAUCCUGCACAGAAUUCGUCCAUCACAAGGAGAGGUGGGAUAUUGCAUGGAAAGUCUCAGGGAACCAGGGCACCAUUCGACACCAGAGCCAUAACUUGUUAGGGAAUAGUAAGAGCUUGGACAGGCUUCGGGGCCUGUAUAAUUCAGGUAAAGGUAUUGGGGGAACUAGCUAGGACCAUUGCCUCUUGGUCAGGUUUCACUGUGUGGAACAAAAGAAAUAAUAAGGUGAUAGGGGCCUGCAAGUGGGGGAAGGACAUCUGCACCUAGCAGAUUAAUUGGACAGGUGAAGGUAACCACAAAGCAAGGCUUAGUUAACAGGCUACUCCAAGGAGAGCCAUGUACACUUGUGCAGGAGACAACAAUUUUAGACAGGAAUGAGGAGUUAGGCAGGCCUUGCUUGGUACAAAUAGAUGUCAUGUGGCCUGCUAUACAAGGCUGCAUGUAGCCGUUGGGUAUGGGCCUUAUUAUGUACUAAAACCUAAGUUAAAAGAAAAUUUGGGACAACCUGAAGUGACACUUCUCCACAGAUGCUAACUCAUCGUUGAUGACAUUGUUAAUACAGGUAGCCUGAUCAGCCAAUUUAUCUUAGGCUUAAACAAGUCACACCAUGUAGUGGAAUGGGUCAUUAGGAUUCGGGCAAUUCUACAG